UGCAAGUCGAGCGAAGCACUUAAGCGGAUCUCUUCGGAUUGAAACUUAUUUGACUGAGCGGCGGACGGGUGAGUAACGCGUGGGUAACCUGCCUCAUACAGGGGGAUAACAGUUAGAAAUGGCUGCUAAUACCGCAUAAGCGCACAGGACCGCAUGGUCUGGUGUGAAAAACUCCGGUGGUAUGAGAUGGACCCGCGUCUGAUUAGCUAGUUGGAGGGGUAACGGCCCACCAAGGCGACGAUCAGUAGCCGGCCUGAGAGGGUGAACGGCCACAUUGGGACUGAGACACGGCCCAGACUCCUACGGGAGGCAGCAGUGGGGAAUAUUGCACAAUGGGGGAAACCCUGAUGCAGCGACGCCGCGUGAAGGAAGAAGUAUCUCGGUAUGUAAACUUCUAUCAGCAGGGAAGAAAAUGACGGUACCUGACUAAGAAGCCCCGGCUAACUACGUGCCAGCAGCCGCGGUAAUACGUAGGGGGCAAGCGUUAUCCGGAUUUACUGGGUGUAAAGGGAGCGUAGACGGAAGAGCAAGUCUGAUGUGAAAGGCUGGGGCUUAACCCCAGGACUGCAUUGGAAACUGUUUUUCUAGAGUGCCGGAGAGGUAAGCGGAAUUCCUAGUGUAGCGGUGAAAUGCGUAGAUAUUAGGAGGAACACCAGUGGCGAAGGCGGCUUACUGGACGGUAACUGACGUUGAGGCUCGAAAGCGUGGGGAGCAAA
Molecule: ribosomal RNA, 716 nt
Filed under: uncultured Lachnospiraceae bacterium
Lineage: Bacteria; Bacillati; Bacillota; Clostridia; Lachnospirales; Lachnospiraceae
Description: bacterial SSU rRNA
Rfam family: Bacterial small subunit ribosomal RNA
Source: RNAcentral